CUUCCCACAUUAGAGUUCACGUUACUUAGGUUAACGUUACUUCUAACGUAGCCAAUUUUGGCUUAGUCCAACGUUAGUGACAAAGGUGAGUGUCACUAAUGUUGGCACUUCUCUGUUCCUUCCACAUUAGAGCUCACGUUAAUGUACUUAACCUGACUCUUAACGUGGCUAGGUGUGCCCCUUUUUCCAACGUUAGUGGCAUUCACUUUUACCACUAACGUUGGAGCUUUACUUCUCUUCCACGUUAGCUUCCACGUUAACGUAGU
Molecule: non-coding RNA, 266 nt
Organism: Arachis ipaensis
Lineage: Eukaryota; Viridiplantae; Streptophyta; Magnoliopsida; Fabales; Fabaceae
Source: RefSeq, a predicted model, not a curated record